Molecule: ribosomal RNA, 465 nt
Filed under: Vreelandella stevensii
Lineage: Bacteria; Pseudomonadati; Pseudomonadota; Gammaproteobacteria; Oceanospirillales; Halomonadaceae
Description: partial 16S ribosomal RNA
Rfam family: Bacterial small subunit ribosomal RNA
Source: RNAcentral
CCUACGGGUGGCAGCAGUGGGGAAUAUUGGACAAUGGGGGCAACCCUGAUCCAGCCAUGCCGCGUGUGUGAAGAAGGCCCUCGGGUUGUAAAGCACUUUCAGUGAGGAAGAACGCCUGGUGGUUAAUACCCAUCAGGGAAGACAUCACUCACAGAAGAAGCACCGGCUAACUCCGUGCCAGCAGCCGCGGUAAUACGGAGGGUGCGAGCGUUAAUCGGAAUUACUGGGCGUAAAGCGCGCGUAGGUGGCUUGAUAAGCCGGUUGUGAAAGCCCCGGGCUCAACCUGGGAACGGCAUCCGGAACUGUCAAGCUAGAGUGCAGGAGAGGAAGGUAGAAUUCCCGGUGUAGCGGUGAAAUGCGUAGAGAUCGGGAGGAAUACCAGUGGCGAAGGCGGCCUUCUGGACUGACACUGACACUGAGGUGCGAAAGCGUGGGUAGCAAACAGGAUUAGAUACCCCAGUAGUC